GUGCCAGCAGCCGCGGUAAUACGUAGGGGGCAAGCGUUGUCCGGAUUUAUUGGGCGUAAAGAGCUCGUAGGCGGUUCGACAAGCCGACGGUGAAAUCUCCACGCUCAACGUGGAGGGGUCCGUCGGAACUGUCGUGACUCGAGUCCGGUAGGGGAGUGUGGAAUUCCCGGUGUAGCGGUGAAAUGCGCAGAGAUCGGGAGGAACACCCGUAGCGAAGGCGGCACUCUGGGCCGGUACUGACGCUGAGGAGCGAAAGCGUGGGGAGCAAACAGGAUUAGAUACCCGCGUAGUCC
This 293-nucleotide ribosomal RNA is filed under the name uncultured bacterium. RNAcentral's name for it is "partial 16S ribosomal RNA". It matches the Rfam family "Bacterial small subunit ribosomal RNA", at positions 505 to 796 of the family's 1533-position model. The record is from RNAcentral.